RNAcentral lists this small RNA (1687 nucleotides) under Pan troglodytes (chimpanzee). Its description in RNAcentral is "processed transcript". The record is from RNAcentral. Lineage: Eukaryota; Metazoa; Chordata; Mammalia; Primates; Hominidae.
UCCGGGUUGUGCAGCUGCCCGCCCCGGACUCAAAGUUCUAGUCUGGCCCUGGAUGGGAAGUUGGCGUGGCCGGGAUGCCUUCUAACUUUUUCCCCCGGUGGGGACUGACGUUCCUUUCGAGCUGCUGGCGGUGCCGCCGGGCAGCGUCGCGCCCCGCGGUCACUCCCCAGCCCUGGCCCCCAAGCCGGGCCCGGCGCGCGCAGCAGGUUGAGGGGGCGAGUGCCGAGGCGAGCGGCGGUCCGGCGUCCCCGGUCCCUGCUCUCCAUCUCGGGCUGAGGAUUCGCUGACGCAGCAAGCCGGCCGAUGCCCUGAGGGGACGCAGCCAGGGCGAGCGGGGGAAACGCUGUGUCAUCCCCUGGGGCCGUCGUCCCUCCGAGGGGCUGCCGCCCGGGAACCCCCCCAGCCUCUUCCUCGCUGUGUCCUCCGCGGAGGGUCUCCCGCGCCCGGGUCCCCGCGCCGCCGGGUACUGGCUCUGGGCACACCCGCUCAGGCUCUUCGGGGCACGGCGACAGGGGUCCUUUCCCUCCGGGACCUCCUUUGGGGCGUCGCCGACUCGGCCCUAGACUGCGGAGGCGGGGGUGGAACGCGGAGCCCGGGCGCCUUGUUGGGCCCGGAGACCGGAGCCGGGGAGGGGCCGCUCCCGCGCCGCAGACCCUCGGGCUCCCGCGCCUCCCGCACCAAGGAGACGGAAUUUAUUAGGAAACAGGCAGAGAGACCGCUGAAGUGAACCGGGGCUUGCCAGGGGUGGGCGGCAGCCGAGGCGGCCAGAAAAGAACUUUGAAGGAAGAAAGGAAAUUGUGCUAAGACGUCCUUCUAUGGCCGCUUCAGGCACUUCUUGGAUAUCAUCGACCCUCGCACACUCUUCGUCACUGAGGCUCACAGCUGGAGGAAAAUUUGCCUCAGGAUGAAUCACACCUUUGGGUCUCAUCCAUACGUAAUUUAGAGGAUUCUGGAUGAGACUCUGACUUCAGACUUUUGAGUUGCUGCUGGAAUGACUGACUUUUCGGGCUACUGAGAUGGAAUGAAUAUUUGUGAGAAGGACAUAAAUUUUGGGGGGCCAGGGUGAGAUGCUAUGGCUGAAAUGUGGCCCAUACAAAAUUCAGGUGUUGAAACUUAAUGGCAAAUGUGAUAGUAUUAAGAGGUGGGAUCUUUAAGAGGCAAUUAGGCCAUGAGGGUCCCUCCCUCAUGAAUGGAAUUAAGGCCCUUGUAAAAGAGGCCUGGCUGGGUAUGGUGGCUCACGGCGUAAUCCCAGCACUUUGGGAGGCUAAGGCUCAAGAAUCACUUGAGCCCAGGAGUUUGAGACCAGCCUGGGCAACAUGACCAGACCCCAACUCUUAAAAAAAUUUUUCAAAAAUUAGCUGGGUGUCGUGGCAUGCACCUGUAGUCCCAGCUACUCGAAUCGGUUGAGCCUGGGAGGUCGAGGUUGCAGUGAACUGUGAUCACACCACUGCACUCCAGUCUGGGUGACAGAGCAAGACACUAUCUCAAAAAAUAAAAGAGGUUUCACACAGGGUUUGGCCCUCUUGCCGUUCUGUUCUGUUGAGUACACAGCCUUCCUUCCCUCAGAAAGAUGCUCUCACCAGAUACCAAAUGCUGGUUCUUGAUCUUGGACUUCCAGCUUCCAGAACUGUGAGAAAUGAAUUUCUGUUCUUUAUAAAUUAUCUAGUCUGUGGCAUUCUGUUAUAGC